This 244-nucleotide long non-coding RNA is filed under the name Actinidia chinensis (golden kiwifruit). RNAcentral's name for it is "long non-coding RNA (ACHI_LNC000195)". Lineage: Eukaryota; Viridiplantae; Streptophyta; Magnoliopsida; Ericales; Actinidiaceae. The record is from RNAcentral.
UGGAGGAUAUAUCUUGGUCAAUGUAAUAUAACAUCAUUCCAUUCCUUCCGUGGUCGGCACCUGUAUAAUUUAAUUUUAUCCUUAUUUCAGGUGUGCUUUUGUUGCAUUAUAAGAUGCUUUGCCGAAACAUAUAACUGUUCACUCCCGGAGAAUUCAUGGAGAGAAGUUUUGAUGUUGUUGGCUCAACAAUUAGCAGAUGGCUUAGCCCAUCUAAGACAGUAUAUUCUUGCUUUUUUCACUGGUA